UAAAUAAUUGAUUUUAUUUGGACUCAUGAAUCCCAAUAUAGUCAAAUAUCUUUCUAAUAUGUAUGAAUUGCAUAAGGUAGAAGGGUCCUUCUGCCUUACUACUCUGAUAUUUACUGAUCUGCCUAUUCAUUGAUUCAACAGGAGUAUAUUCUCACAGUGGAGUGUGGUAGGUGCUGGGGAUAUAAACAUAAAAAGAUACAGUUUUUGCCCUCAGGUUAAAGUUUACACAUGGAUCAAGGAAGCAUGUUUAUAUAGCCAUAUGACCCCUGUGAUGAUUAUUUAGAAGUAUCCAAUGUCAUUAAGGGAUACAACUUAGGAAACUGCAUUUGCAGUGAGCAGGAAAAAACACCUCUUUCAUGGUUAGUGAUUUUUCUUUUUUUGAUUCACUCAGUAGGGGUUCCACAUAAAUGAUAUUUUUAGAAGUGGGGCUGAAAGAAAUCUUUUUCUUUGGAAACAUAAGAAAGAUUCUGAAGUCAAAAGGGGAGAGCAGAGGGCAUGAAUGCAUCAAAACAUCUGCUUUUUCUUAACAGGCACCAGCUUCCAAAAUCACAACCCUUUCCUUCAAUAACUCUUUUAUAAGUCUCCCAGGCCUCCUCUGAGUCUUAGAAGACUGGCUCAAGAGCUGAUCUGCUCUGGGGCUUCUGAGAAGGCUUCCUGGAGGUAGAAGCAAUCAGACUAAACAUAUGGAAGUAGGGUCUAAAUCGGAGCUGCAGCUGCUAGCCUACACCACAGCCACAGC
Sus scrofa (pig) is the source of this 739-nucleotide non-coding RNA. NCBI's taxonomy places the organism in Eukaryota, Metazoa, Chordata, Mammalia, Artiodactyla, Suidae. The record is from RefSeq and is a predicted model, not a curated record.